GAUGAAGAACGCAGCGAAAUGCGAUAAGUAAUGUGAAUUGCAGAAUUUUGUGAAUCAUCGAGUCUUUGAACGCACAUUGCGCCCCCUGGUAUUCCGGGGGGCAUGCCUGUCCGAGCGUCAUUGCUGCCCUCAAGCACGGCUUGUGUGUUGGGCCCCGUCCUCCGAUCCCGGGGGACGGGCCCGAAAGGCAGCGGCGGCACCGCGUCCGGUCCUCGAGCGUAUGGGGCUUUGUCACCCGCUCUGUAGGCCCGGCCGGCGCUUGCCGAUCAACCCAAAUUUUUAUCCAGGUUGACCUCGGAUCAGGUAGGGAUACCCGCUGAACUUAAGCAUAUCAAUAAGCGGAGGA
Molecule: unclassified non-coding RNA, 346 nt
Filed under: soil metagenome
Description: partial contains 5.8S ribosomal RNA, internal transcribed spacer 2, and large subunit ribosomal RNA
Rfam family: 5.8S ribosomal RNA (bases 1-120)
Source: RNAcentral